GCUUGAGUGAGCGGCGGCGAGCUUGAGAACGCCAUGGCCGGCAGAUUUGACGAAGGAGCGGCUCCAAACAAAGUAGUUUCACUUUCACAAGGAAACACACAGCGCCUUCACGACAUGGCGGCGGCGGCAGCAACAAUACUACAGCGAGAAUAAAAGUUACGCCUUCUUUCUUUGCGUGAACAUUUGGGCGGUGUUAGAACGAUCCGUUUUAGGAGGGCGUGGUUGACUCUUAACUUUUAUAAAGAAUAUAUUUUUGGAUUUGAGACUUUAGUCUUUGCAACUUUACAGAUCUUCUUUAUGCACCAAAAGCUUGUAACACUCCAAAGAGAAAGGAAAAAUUGAAAUCGCAUCAUAUGACCCCUUUAAAGGUGUCUGCCAAAUGCAUAAAUGUAAAUGGUGUGCAAAUAACCUGCUCUCUGCUUGCAUUAUUACAGUCAGUGAACAGGGAUCUUAUUCAUGGUCUCUAAGAAGUUCAGCACGCGGUUCAGUUGUAUCACAAUCAGAAGCAGACAGUAGGUCAAUUUGUGGCUCAUCAAGUUCCAGAGAUUCAUCGCACACCUCAAGAUAUGAGACAGUGGUUCCGAAAAUAUGUAAUAGCAUGGAAUUUCCACCAAACAUGAGUGGAGAUAAGAGGUGGGACAUGAAGUCUAUAGGAAGUUCUGCUUAUGGUUCAUUUGGAUCACUAUCAGGAGCAGACAGCAGGAACAUUUUGGGAUUAUCACAUUCCAGAGAUUCAUCGCACACCUCAAUACAUGAUUCAGGGGACCUGAAAAUAUAUAACAGCAUGGAAUUACCUCCAAACUUGAGUGGAGAUGAGAGGUGGGACACAAGGUCUAUGGGAAGUUCUGCUUACAGUUCAUCUGGAUCACUAUCAGGAGCAGACAUCGGUUCAGUUUUUAGCUCAUCACAAUCAAAAGUCUCAUCACACAGCUCAAAAUUUGGGUCUGUGGAACAUUUAGGGACCAAAAGAGCACAUUGUGUGCCCAAUGUCUCAAAACUUAAGCAUGAUGAGGACACUGAGAAGACUUGAAUACUAAAUUAAUGUGGUGACUGUAUAAUACUGACUUUGUAAUUUUUACAUCAUAAUGUAUCUGUCAGAUUCUGUUCCUUGUUUUGGGUGUGUUUUGCUCCCCAUGUGCCUUUCAUGCCCUUAUUUGGUCCUUCCUGUUCCUGUCCCCAUUUAGUUCUAUUAGUUCCAGGUGUUCCUUGUUAUUAGUUAUCCCCCUCCCCUGUCUGCCCCUCAAUAUCUGCCCUAUUUGAGUUCUAGCCCGUUCUGUUCUCCCUUGUCCGGAAUUGUAUAUGUCUACCCUUGCUACGUGUGUUUCCUUGUUCCCUGCAUGUUAUUAAAACCUAUAUGUUUGAAUUCCACUCCUCGUCUCCUCGCUCCUUUGUCUCCGGGCUCACUCAAGCCCGCUGGCUGUUCCCGAGUCAGGCCCGCCGGCCACCGCAAGGACAAGCACUUCACGGCCACCCAGUUCACCCGUAAUCAGAAGAGGAGAAAGAGGAGAAAUGACUGGCUCAGGGUCCUCUUCCGCGCCCGAGUACUCACUCCAGUGUCGGCUCCAGCCCCAGAGCUCCCUGCAGUGUCGGCUCCAGCCCCAGAGCUCGCUCCAGUGUCGGCUCCAGCCCCCGAAUCUAGCCCAGUGAGGGCUCCUGUCCCUGAGUUUAGCCCAUAGAGGGCUCCUGUUCCUGAGCUUAUCCCACGGAGGGCUCCUGUUCCUGAGUUUAGCCCGGUGAGGGCUCCUGUCCCCGAGUUUAGCCCGGUGAGGGCUCCUGUCCCCGAGUUUAGCCCAGUGAAGGCUCCUGUUCCCGAGUUUAGCCCACGGAGGGCUCCGGUUCCUGAGCUUAUCCCACGGAGGGCUCAUGUUCCUAUAUCUGGCCCACGGAGGGCCUCAGAGCCUGUAAUCUAGAGGGCCUGUAGAGGCCUCGGAGGCGGCUCUGCCAUGGCUUCCUAGUCUGCCUGCACCGCCAUGGCUUCCUGAACUGUCUGCUCUGCCAUGGCUUCCUAGUCUGCCUGCUCUGCCAUGGCCUCCUAAUCUGCCUGUUCCGCCAUGGCCUCCUGAACUGUCUGAUCCGCCAUGGCCCCCUGAACUGUCUGAUCUGCCAUGGCCCCCUGAACUGUCUGUUCUGCCAAGGCCUCCUGGACUACCUGCUCCGCCAUGGCGCCCCGAGCUGCCUGAUCUGCCAUGGUGCCCCGAACUGCCAGAUCCGCCAUGGGUCCUGGAACGGGUGCCGCCCUGGAGGCCUUCCGUCCUGGAACCCUGCUCCUAGAGGCCUCCAGAGCGCCCCCCCCCCCUCCCUGUUGGAUGUUGUACGGCGCGGGACGCACCUUCCGGGUGGGGGGAGUAAUGUCAGACUCUGUUCCUUGUUUUGUGUGCGUUUUGCUCCCCAUGUGCGUUCCUUGCCCUUAUUUGGUCCUUCCUGUUCCUGUCCCCAUUUAGUUCAAUUUGUCCGGAAUUGUAUAUGUCUACCCUUGCUAUGUGUGUUUCCUUGUUC
Molecule: long non-coding RNA, 2496 nt
Filed under: Sinocyclocheilus grahami
Lineage: Eukaryota; Metazoa; Chordata; Actinopteri; Cypriniformes; Cyprinidae
Description: lncRNA (ENSSGRG00000031609.1)
Source: RNAcentral